Chelonia mydas (Green sea turtle) is the source of this 1138-nucleotide long non-coding RNA. RefSeq lists it as uncharacterized. Lineage: Eukaryota; Metazoa; Chordata; Testudines; Cheloniidae. The transcript has 3 exons. The record is from RefSeq and is a predicted model, not a curated record.
GUUCAUUAGACUGACUGUAUUAUUUGUUUUUGGAAGCACUGGCACCCACAAUUGUCCUCACCACGCCGGAAAUAAAAGAAGGCAGUUUCUACCUCACAACAGGUGGGAUCCAGAAAGGAACUUUUUAAAUUUAGGAAAAUGGACACUGCACAGCUGAGCAUUUCUUCAGGACCGAUACAGCAUGGUGGGAGGACCCAGGUAUCAUUGAAAUCUGAUGUAAGGAUAUAAGUAAUCGGCUAGAUUCUCUGGCCUUGCUAAGCUGUUCUUGGCACAAGACCAACAGAGCGUGGGAGGCAAAACAGGUGAUCUCCUAGGAACUUGAAGAACUUCAAAGACAAUUGAGGGAGGGUCUUGGGAGGGGGAAUGAAUAAAGGACAAAAGGCAGCACAAAAGAUUUGAACUACACAAACAAUCUACACAAAUGUAAUAUUGGUAGAAGUCCACGGCACUGAAAACACUGCCAAGUGGGAAGGGAAAAGGAAGUGAACCAAAGGACAGGGCUUGAUAGCACAAGUGCUUUGAGUUGGGUGUAGAUUAACUUCAGCCAGCUGUCAGAGAAGUCACUGCACCUCCUAACCCAUUGCAAAAAUUGUGUAGGGCAGGGUUGGGCAAAGGGGAUGCUACAGCAUCUCCUUUAUCAAAAAGACCACCUAGGGAUGAGGCCUAAGGGGUCCAAAUAACCAGCGGAGUGAUGAUAAAAGCCCUAAACUAAUUCCCUAAUAAAAACAUUUCACCCGUUUCAAAACUGAGAGGUAGUAGGGUGCUAAAGGGAUAAUGGAAGUGUCUUCCCCCAAAAGAAUAACAUAUUGGGCUGCCUUUCUUUCUAUGAUUUUAUUAUUGAUAUUUCUCUUAUAUGGCUUCACCUUAUUUCUAUGAUUUUUUGCUGUAUAUAUAGAUAUCCAUAGAGAGGGAUUAAAGACAUAGGACUAAAUUCUUCUUUCUGGUGCAAUGGGGUAAACUCAGAGUAACCCCAUUGACUUCAUCUGGAUAACAGAGCAAAAUUUGCUCCUUGAAGCCCAAUACUGCAGCCUUUUCUUAUGCAAGUUGUGACGAACUGGGAAUGUUUUUAAUGUUUUCUCUGAAUACUGUGUGGGUGCCUCAGUUUUCCCUAUGCAUUUCUUAAGUAUCUAGGUGGUGG